GUAUAAAAUUUGGUGAUUUACAAUAACUUAGCAAAUCGCAUAGUGAAAACUGGCGAUAAAUCAUUCAAGUUUCUGACCUAUCAGCUUUCGACGGUAUGGUAUUGGCUUACCGUGGCAGUGACGGUUAACGGGGGAUUAGGGUUCGAUUCCGGAGAGGGAGCCUGAGAAACGGCUACCACAUCUAAGGAAGGCAGCAGGCGCGCAAAUUACCCAAUUCUAACAGCAUGAGAGAGGUAGUGACAAGAAAUAACAAUACAAGGCAGUUAAAAUGCUUUGUAAUUGGAAUGAUAGAAAUUUAAACACUUUUUAAAGUAUCAAUUGGAGGGCAAGUCUGGUGCCAGCAGCCGCGGUAAUUCCAGCUCCAAUAGCGUAUAUUAAAAUUGUUGCAGUUAAAAAGCUCGUAGUUGAAUUUCUGUUAAAAAUAACCGGUCUGCUUUUAAUAAAAGUGGUAUCUUGGUGUGUUUUUAGCAAUAAUGUCCUUUGAAAUGUUUUUUACUUUAUUGUAAUAGAUUAUAUUCAGGAUUUUUACUUUGAGAAAAUUA
This 542-nucleotide ribosomal RNA is filed under the name Hepatozoon felis. RNAcentral's name for it is "bacterial SSU rRNA". It matches the Rfam family "Eukaryotic small subunit ribosomal RNA", at positions 234 to 768 of the family's 1831-position model. Lineage: Eukaryota; Apicomplexa; Hepatozoidae. The record is from RNAcentral.